Molecule: ribosomal RNA, 497 nt
Filed under: uncultured bacterium
Lineage: Bacteria
Description: partial 16S ribosomal RNA
Rfam family: Bacterial small subunit ribosomal RNA
Source: RNAcentral
GAUGAACGCUGGCGGCGUGCCUAAUACAUGCAAGUCGAGCGAACGGACGAGAAGCUUGCUUCUCUGAUGUUAGCGGCGGACGGGUGAGUAACACGUGGAUAACCUACCUAUAAGACUGGGAUAACUUCGGGAAACCGUAGCUAAUACCGGAUAAUAUUUUGAACCGCAUGGUUCAAAAGUGAAAGACGGUCUUGCUGUCACUUAUAGAUGGAUCCGCGCUGCAUAAGCUAGUUGGUAAGGUAACGGCUUACCAAGGCAACGAUGCAUAGCCGACCUGAGAGGGUGAUCGGCCACACUGGAACUGAGACACGGUCCAGACUCCUACGGGAGGCAGCAGUAGGGAAUCUUCCGCAAAGGGCGAAAGCCUGACGGAGCAACGCCGCGUGAGUGAUGAAGGUCUUCGGAUCGUAAAACUCUGUUAUUAGGGAAGAACAUAUGUGUAAGUAACUGUGCACAUCUUGACGGUACCUAAUCAGAAAGCCACGGCUAACUACGUG